CUUUGUUACACAGAAGAUGAGACGGUGAGGUCACGUAACAGGACAUGAGUCUAGUCGUCACAGGGGUGUCCAAUUCUCCACCAGGCCCUCUCAAUUUCAUAUGAUCAAAAAAAGUCAGAAGCGACGCGACGUCUGUGUUUGGGGCAGACCGCCUAAUGAAUAGAGGAAUGCAAAUGGAGGUAAAACACUGAUUUAUCAGGCUGAUUGUAAUGGAUCGUGCUCUGGGCUCAUUAAUAGCAAAUGAGGGAAGUCUUGUUGAUGUCUCACGGCCAUCUUGUGUGUGUGUGAGAUCUGGGUCUCAGAGUCUGAGAAAG
Long non-coding RNA from Oncorhynchus tshawytscha (Chinook salmon), 314 nucleotides. The record is from Ensembl. Lineage: Eukaryota; Metazoa; Chordata; Actinopteri; Salmoniformes; Salmonidae.